This 14227-nucleotide long non-coding RNA is filed under the name Jatropha curcas. RNAcentral describes it as "long non-coding RNA (JCUR_LNC000058)". The record is from RNAcentral. Lineage: Eukaryota; Viridiplantae; Streptophyta; Magnoliopsida; Malpighiales; Euphorbiaceae.
UUAAGAGUACGGACCUUGUCGACCUCGAAGCCAUAUAGGGAUUCAAGGACUCGCUUGAUUUCAAUCUUGGAGGCUGAAGGAAUGGUUUUUAAGGCAAUUUCUCUGAUGUUGGUGAAAGUAGUGGGCAUGAGGAGCUUGAUCGGAAGGUUUGCAAAAUUAACCACUCUUCUUCCCAGUCUGCUCCCCAUCUGUUUGUGUUUUUGCUCGUCUAGCUGCUCGAACGAUAACGAGUUUUCAGACACACAUAUACACACAUUCAUCAUAUAUGCAUUCCACGUUAAACACGUAUUAAAUAAAAAUAGCAUAUUUUCAUCAUUUGACUUCAACUUAUUAAUCAUAUAUAAGUUAUCUUCUUACAUAUGAAUCUUAUUUAUUCCAUAGAAGGAGUUUUUGUUUAAACCAUCCCCUUAGCAUCAAUAACUAAAUCACAUCUCUAAAGAACAAUGAUACAAAUUUUAAUCAUUAAACAACUUGACUUUAAUCUGGUUGCGAAUAACGCUGAAGGGGAAAGCAAUGAAGACUAUGUCAAGACAUGACAGGAAUUACUCCGCAGUUACAUCUAGACUUAUGAACUUUUGUUCUGAAACCACCUUUGUCACGACCCGUUUCCAUGGGCCGGACUAGCACUAGGACCCAGGUAAGCUUAAGGCCUCCGAGGCCCGUAGUAAGCCUAAAUUAUUCAAUCUAUCUUCUUAUCUCUCCCAAUUUCAUCAGAACAGUAAGCUUAUAAAAUAUAAGUUUAUAGAAAUAUUCAAACAUCUGGCCCAAUCUCAAAUACUACAUAAAAUUUAACGAGGACCUAUUCACAAUAAAUCAUAUUCACACUAUGGGCUUACUGGUUCACAUGCAGUUAAUUACACAAUAUUUAAUUUAUAGCGUAGUGCUAACAAUAAGGCCCAAUUAUAAUACACAAUCCUAUACCUGCGGAGUUCAACAAUAAUCUGAUAGUAGAGUAAUUUAUACAACCCAAUGUAAAUAACAGAAAUAUAAAUUUUUUACAUUUGUAACUCUGCGGAGAAGAUUGCAGAGCUUCAGUCGAACCAACUACUUCUUAGUACCUGAGAGAUUUAUUUGGGGGGUGAGUUUUGCAACUCAGUGAAUAAUAAUAAAUAAUACACACCACAUACAGUCAAGCAAAAUGCACCCUAAUAUACUGAAUGAACACACAACAGUCAAUCAUAUGGCAUCAUAUCAGAACCCACAAUUAAUAUCACCUUCAGAUAAUCACAUCACGUGGAAAUUAGUCAGUGGAGUCACCAAAAUCCGAUGAGCCGUACUCUCACAUGGCCCAUCCUUUCAGAUUAAAAAGAAAACAGUAUAUCAGUAUUACGGUUUCCGGAUCCAUAUCACAGUAAACAGUAUCUCAGUAUUAUAGUUUCCGGAUCCAUAUCACAAUAAACAGUAUCUCAGUAUUACAGUUUCCGGAUCCAUAUCACAAUAACAGAAUAUAACCGUACCGGUAAUCAGAACAGGAUCCAUAUAACAAUAACUGAAUAUAACGGUACCGGUAAUCAGAACAGGAUCCAUAUAGUAGUAACAGAAUAUAACGGUACCGGUAAUCAGAACAGGAUCCAUAUAACAGUAACAGAAUAUAACGGUACCGGUAAUCAGAACAGGAUCCAUAUAACAGUAAUAGUCUCACAAACCUGUGGUGACCCACUUCAUUCUAAUUCCACACAAACAAAGCACAGAAUAUACACAGCACAAGUAAUCAAAUAAUGUAUUCAACGUAAUACACCGAUUCCAUCUAUUUGCACAGUCAUCAUCAUAUAAUAAUAGUGACAUAAUAUAUUUAAAAGAUACUCAGAAUAUAUUCAUAUACGGUAUGUUAUGUAAAUACAAUGCUGAUAUGCAUUAUUUAUUAUUACUCACUGUGGUGGAGAACGAAGCUCUAACUUUGAUUCUGUCUGGGAGGAGCACUAGACGGACCCGGGCAAUCUAAGACAAUUCAGAAUGACACCGAAAAAUAAUUAUAUCAGACAAAAUAUUUAUUUAGUACUCUAAUAAUUUUAAGCUAUAUAUUUAACUUCCCUACAUAAUUUAAUCUCUAUAAAUAAUUUGAUUUCUCUACUGAAAUUUCGACAGCGUUUCCCCUAAAAUUUAACUAUCCACCAAUCAACUCAGUCAAUUAUGUCUCAAGUUCUCACAGCCCAUCCAUCGGGCAAUCAAUCCAGUCAAUUAGUCCCGUUCUCCACAUUUUUCCACAUCAACAGUAUCUUAUAUUUUUUUCUAUAAUUCCAUAAAUCAUAAUUUCCUAAUAAUUUAUUUAUUACUAGAAUUAAAUUAUUUUAUUACCCAAGUAAAUUUUAAUUUAUCAAUAGAUCAACACAAUUUAAUUUAACUAAUCAAAAUUGCUAGAAUUAAAUCAAUUAAUCACAAUCGCUUAAUUUAAAUCAAUUACUAAAAUUACUAAAAAUUAAUUAAUUUCUGAGAAUUAAUAAAAAUUAAUUUAUACCCAAUUGUAUUCUUGCCGGAGUUUAUUUGAUCGGUGACGAAAACUACGCGUGCCGGAUCGAAGCUACACGCACUGGGACUGUAAAUGGGUGGCCGGAGUCGGAUCAGAGCAGCUGGACCACCUAAAACCGACGCAAAAACGGACUGAGUUGCAGCGGUGGCGCGAUCUGGCGGAGGAACGGCUGGCUGCCCGAUGGAGCUUGGCGAAUCGUUCCUGGUGGCCGGAGACUUGCUGGAUCGACGCUCACUGGACAGAUCGGAGGAGCAACCUUCUGUCCCUGCUUGGCUUGAAUGGAGAGAGGCGUCGGCGAUGGCGGGCUACUGCAGCGUGGAGCAGCUGCGAGGUGGCGCAACGUGGCUGAGCUCGUGGUGGUGGCUCGCGUUUCUGCUGGAGCUGCUGGGAUGCGACGCAGAUGCAGUCACAGAAAAGAAGAAAGGGAAAGAAAGAAAAGAAAGAAAGAAGAAGAUGAAGAAGAAAGGAGGAGAUGGCGGCGGCGGCUCUGCGUACCGGUGAUUUUGCCGAUGGACUGACUAGAGGCGCAGAGAACGGGUAAGGUGAGCGCCGGAUAUAGAGGGGAGAGGCUUCUAGAAGUGGUUUGGGCUGAAUCGGUUCGAUUCCGGUUCGAUUCAGCCCAAAUCUCGAUUUUCAUUGGAUUUUUAAUUUUUCAGUUGUUUUUCAAUUCGGUUCAUCACUGUACGAAUUGCAUUUAAAUAAUUAACUGCAUUUCCAGGCUGUUAGUUUAUUAAAUUUAAUUAGAAAAUUUUUGAAAAUAAAAAUUCAGGUUAUUUCAUUAGGCAUAGCCGGUUCAGUGAACCGUCGGUUCCGGUUCAAUGAAAUGCCGGUUCUAGAUGUUUAAAAUUUUGAACUAAAACCGACCCUUGAACCUCCGAUUCUGGUUCCGGCGAACCGACGGGUCGAAUUACGGGUCCGAUUCAAUUCCGGCAUUACACAAAUUUUUUUAAAAAUAAUAAAAUUUUGAUUCAGAAUUCAUAAAUAAAUAAUAAUAAUUUUAAAAUAUUUAAAUUUAUUAACUAAAUAAAUUAUUAUAAAAUUUUAAAACAAAAACUUCUAUUAACUAACUUAGAACUAUUAUUACAUUAAAUUUACAAUUUUUGAUAAUUCACUAAUAUAGAAAACUAUAAAUGCAAUAUAAAAUUAAUGAAAUGAGUUGGAAAUUAUUAUUUUCAAAUACUAAGAAAAUUAUCUAAAAAAAUCAAAUGAAGUAAAUUUAUGAAUGAAAAAAAUUAAGAUUAGAGAAAAAAAUUGGAAUUGGAUAUAAGAAAAUAAAAAUACACAAUAGAUAAUUUCAAUGUUAAGGAAAAUAAAGCAAUAGAAAAAAUAAUGAAAUAUGGAAAUUUGAGAGAAUUUUGAUUGANNNNNNNNNNNNNNNNNNNNNNNNNNNNNNNNNNNAAAAUAAAAAAUCAUCAACUCAUCAUAUUUAUACAUGUUUCUCAUUUAUUAGUUUUCUAAAUUGUCCCUUAUAACAGAAAAAUAAUAAUUAUAUUUUUGAAUAAUUUAGUACAUUACAGUAAAUAAAUAAAUAAAUGAUUAAAAAAUAAAUAAAAUUUAUUUACCAAAAAAUAAAUAAAAAACACCUAUCAUAUCAAAAAAUAUUCGUUAUACUCUUUUUUUUAUACACUUGAAAGUAUUUUUUUUUAUAUAAAUCAACAUUCAUGUACCAUUUUUUGUAUAAAUUAAGUAAAAAAAUUAAGUAAAAAAAUGUGUAUUUUUUUCACCACUUUUUAUAACUUAUGUACUAUUGUACUUCUCUUCUCCAUAAAUCAAAUCAAUUACAAUCAAAUCAAGUGAUAUAAAUCUUUUUAUAAAAAUUCUAAGCUACAAUUUUUUUGUGCAUCCGGUUCGAAUCGGACCGGAACUGCCGGUUAACCGCCUAUUCCGGAUCGAUUCCGGUUCAUAUUUUAAAAUUUAUAUAAAUCUUAACCGGCUCUUAAACCACUUAUUCUAGUUCAAAAUUAUGAACUGCGAGUUUCGAUUCGUCUACGGUGCUUGUGUUUUGCUCGUUUAGCUGUUCGAACGAAAACAAGUUUUCGGUAAGUGUUAGAUUAGCGUAUUUGCUUCCCCAAACGAAGUAAUGACUGAAGAGUUUGAGUUGCGGUUUAGCUGUAAGUCAUCAUGGAUUCAUAAAUGCUUGGGCUUUGUUUUUGUGACAAAUUAUUAUAGAAAAUAUUUUAAAAAUAUGGAAAAUAUUUUUUUAAAUAAUUUACAACAUCAAAUUGUAAUAUUGAAAACUAAUUUAAAAGUAUAAAAAUGGUUUAUUUUCACGAAUUACUUUUAUUGUGCCCGUUGUUAUUUUGACAUAUUUGACCUCCUAUUAAUUUUUUUUAAAAAAAAUUUAUAUAAUUGAAUUUUAUAUUUUCAAAUAAAAAAAAAUAACUAUUUCCUUUCUUAAAAAGAUAAGUCAGUUUUCAUCCGAUUUAAUUUUCUUUUUAAUUAAAAAAUAAAACUAUUUACUAGAAAAAUAUUUUUUAUUAGUUAAUUUACCGUUGUUUUUAGAGAGAGAGAAAAAAAAAGAGGAAAAUGCCUACAUUCAUCAUUCAUCCAGUUCAAAUAAUUUCACAUUAGUUCAUCAAUUUUGUGAAAACUUAGAAUGCGUUCCUUGAGCCCUAAUAUAGCAGGUGAAAAAUCACUUCAAGCUUUGACAUUCCUUCUCUGUAAUUUGGGAUCUGCCAAAUCUCAGGGGACUUCUUAUUGGCUAAAAGUAAAGAGUGGCAGCGCAAUGACAAUCGUGGUUUUGAUAGUUUGUGGUUUAGCGAAUUUCUAAUGUCGUUUUAACAUGUGCUAUAAGUUUAAAGAUAUUUAUUUGAGAAAGAAAAUAUUUUAAAAUUAUUACAACACAAGUUUCCAAAUCACCAAAAUAUAUGAAACACAGUACCAACAUAAGCAUAUACAUUAGAAAUAUAUGAGAGAUUAGGCAUGGCCACCGGUUCGGUUCAAACUGAAAUGGAACUGUACUGUAGAUGAAUCGAAAUCGGAUCGAAAUUGGCAGUUCAAAAUUUUGAAUCGGAACUGACUAUUCAAGAGUUGAUUAAGAUUCAUGUGAAUGUUAAAAUAUGAACCGGAAUCGGCAGUUAACCGGCAGUUCCGAUCCGGUUCGAACCAAAAAUUUUUUUUUUUUUUUCAAAAUGAUAAUCACUUAGCCUAUUUUUAUACAUCUCUAAAAAUCUCAAUAAUAUUUUACUACAUGAUAUACUUUACUUAAUAUUUUUUUUUAAAAUACACUUUACUUUAAAAAGUUAAAAUUCUAAAAAGUGAAAUGGUGAAAAAAAAAAGAGAAAUAUUUGGUCUAAACUUAUAUUAUUUUUAACUUUUUUUUUACCAUUGUAAAUUGUUUACUAAGUUUAAAAUUAUAUUCUUUUGAAGUAUUUUUCAAAAUUUUCUUAGAAUUUAUUUAAUUAAUAACAAUUAAACAAAAUAAAGUGAUAAUUUAUUUGAUUAUUUUGUAAAAUUAAUUAAUUUUAUUCUUAUAUGAGUAUGAGCAUUUUAAAAUUUAUUCAAAUAAAAUUUACCAAUAUUUUUAAACUCAUAUUAAUAUUUAGGAAAGAAAAAUGUAACAUUAGAAUCGAUUUUUUUUAAAGCCGAAAAUCAUGAUCGAAAUCGUCAGUUCAUCGGAACCCACCGAAAUCGGCCGGUUCAGGUUCAACAUUUUAAAAAUUUUGAACCGUCGGUUCCGUGAACUAGAACUGGCGGUUCAAUGAACCGGCCAUGCCUAUGAGAGAUCUUGGGACAUCCAAAUUUUGAAAACCUUAUAAACAUUUUGGGACAAUUAAAAAAUGAAUAAAAUGGGACAGAGGGAGUAAGAGACAAGAGGACAUCAACAUGGACAAAAUAAAUCUUUAAAAACAACCAUUAACAAUUAAAAUUUGCAAAGUUUGAAGGGCCUAACAAAAUCAGAGAUUUCACAGCCAAAAUUAAAAAACUGAGAAGCAUUAAAUUAGUCUUAAUGUCAUUGAAAAUAACAAUGUGAGAGUUCAAUAUAAAAAAUAAACAGAACUUUAUAUGUUCUCAAUAGCCAAAACUUGCAAAGUUAGAGAGUUUUAGCAUGAAUGAUUAAUCAAUUCUUCACUCAUAGUAAAUUUGUUUCAUAAAUUUGAAAAUAUUUAAUUACACAUAAUAAAUUAUUACAUAAUUUAUAACUUCAAGGAAAGUCAAAUCACAUAUAAGCUAUCCAUACAAUAAUCAUACCAAUAUUAAAUAUGAAAUAGUUCUUUUGCUAAUUUGCUUCCUCCUCCUUAUUCCAUGCUAUCCAUGAACCAAACAACACUGAGAAGCUAAAAUUUCCCAGAUGUCAAGAUUGGGUUUUCCAGUCCUUUAACUUGCAGUUGCUAUUGUUACUGCAAGCCUCAAAUUACAUCAGAAUUCAUAUCUUUUCCACGACCCAGGUAUAUACAAAAUUUCUGUUACAGGGAAUUACACAAUGACCCAGAAAUCUCAACAAAUCAUGUAGUAAUCUGCACAACUCAAUAAUGCAACCAACAUUUUCAAAAAAUGAACAGAUUUGAUCCUCACUAAUAACUACACACAUUCAAUAGGCAUGCCAAUAUUUUAGACAAACAAAAUGCUAGAAAGGACCUUUCAGGUGUGUAACAUAGGCAGAGCCACAAGAUAAUCUAUUGGUCUUGUAUUGAAAUACGUGGUUGAAAAUUGACAGCUCAGGGCUAACAUUCUGUUUGCAAAUAAGAAACCUGGGUGAUUGAUGCAAUCGAAUUUUGAAGCAGUCAAAUAUAGUGAUAAAAAAGUGAAAAUAUUCAAUCCAUCAUCUCACCUAACACUACUACCAUUCCAGCCACAAACUAGUUUCUCACAUUUAUUACUUGGUCCCCACCCCACUUCAUUUCAUGUUCUUCCAUCUAUCUAAUAUCUUAUGAAUUUUCUAUCACUCCUAACUUACACAACACAUAUUUGAUCACUAUGAAGAAAUCCCUUCCAGCUGGUCGGCCACAGAACUCGGGGAGUGACUCCGAUAGUAUUGAUCAAGUUUACGAGCAAGGCAUCCUAGUUCCAUCCAACGUCAUUGCUUUGGCUGAUAGCUUUGGGAAGAAGGAACAAUCAUGGUAUAGCUAGAAUUCAUUAAAGCAUGGUUCAGCCUUCUCAACCCAGCAAUUAAAAUUGGUUUGAAGACAGCUAUAGCUAUAGCAUGUGUUUGUUUCUAGAGAAUGCCUGAACCAAACUCAGAAUACCUUGGCAUAGUUCACUUUUCUCUUUUGCUCUUUCAGUCAUUUUUUCAAGCAUUUGGUAUGUAGCUUACUCACUCUCUUUGUGUUGAUGGGAUCAUGCAGGUACAUUACUUCCCAGAUUCCAACAGAUCUAACAAUACAAGUUCAAGACAAAACCUUUACUGUUCACAAGGUAACUUGAACAUAAUAGAACUACAUGCAUUUCUCUCUCACACACGCAAAGAGUUCCAUAAAGUACACUAAAAGCACACAACGAAUCUUCAUUUUGUUCAUGUGUAGGGCAUUAUAUUAUGAAAACAUAAUGAGAUAAAGAAAGUAUGUUGAAAAGAAAGUUGGAAAAGAGAAUUUACUGUUCACUAUUUCAUUUGCUAACCUGAUUUAAAUAUUAUUUACAACGACACACACCCCUUAACGAAAUCAUGGCAAUUUUCUAUAUUCUUAACAAACCUGUGAGUUGAAAAUAGAAUCUCCUAUAGAUUAUUUAGAUUUAUCAAUAAGAAUUAUUUGAUAAAACUAUUUAAGAGUGGUUUUGACUCAUCUAAAAAAAUAAAAACUAAAAAAUAAAAAAGUGAUUCUUGUUUAUUCUAAAAUAAUAGAAAUGCAAUGAAAAUUACGUUUAUUUGUGCGUCUGUGUGUAUUAACGUUAGGCUGGACGAGAUGGGAUGGAAUUAUUUCGAGACAUCUGUCAUUCUUCCCUUGAUCAAAUUUUUUUUAAGUUCCCAGCACCACUAAUCUAACAAAGAUUUGAUAACAAGGACAAAAUUAACUAGAAAAAUUCAAAUUGUGGUUUUGUGUUCAAAUUACAGUUGGAUGGGAUUAUGAGAGUUCGAGUUUGAGGUGGAGGAUAGCUAAACUACCCCCAUCAAGUAUAUGUCAAUGCAUAUCUUAUUUCAACAAAGAUGACACGUUAAAGAAAUGACUAGCAAAUGGAUAAAACUACAAGGUUUUUUUGCUAAAGCAUUUUUGGACGUCAUCAAAGAAGAUUUCCCAAUUCCCAUAACGAAUUACACGGUAUACUUGCUAUUGUUAGAGCAAUAAUUUACAAUUUGAACAGAUGUUUUGGAUUGUUUUUGUCAAUAACUCAAAUAGAAAUGAACAUUUCCACUUGGAGGGAGGAGAAAGGGAAAGAGAAAACAAGUAAUUGCACAUAUAUGCCAGACGUUGAACUUACAUUGCUAAACAUAAUAAUAAUUGUUACAGAACUUCUUGGAGUCUACUUGCAUAUAAUUGGAACUAUUUUCCUCAUUUACGCACAUUUUCUCAUUCAUUUCACAUCUUUACCCCCUAUCUAUAUAUCCCCGCAUAAAACUAAUACUGAAAAUUCUAAAUGCAUAAAAACUAAACUACAUGUAUACUAGAUUGUACUUGAUCUAGUUCCAUUCAAUAACCAAUCACACAUUAGUGGAUUUAGGACAUAACCAUAACAAGUAAAAUUUAUAAAUUAAGUCGUAUUUUUUGCUAACACAUUCAUUUCUCCUGCAACAGUAUCCUUUGCUAUCAAAAUGUGGCUACAUAGGCCGUCUAGAACUUCAGCCAUCAAUUUCAAAUUUUGGGUAUGAACUCAAGCUUGAAAACUUCCCAGGAGGACCAGAAACAUUUGAAACCAUUCUAAAGUUUUGUUAUGGACUUCCAUUAGACUUAAAACCUAACAACAUAGCUGCACUAAGGUGUGGAGCAGAUUUCUUGGAGAUGAGUGAAGAACUUGAAGAUGGAAACCUCAUUGCAAAGACAAAAGUUUUCCUCACAUUUGUAGUCCUUUCCUCAUGGAAAGAUACCAUUAUUGUUCUUAAAUCCUGUGAAACUUUAUCUCCAUGGGCAGAAAAUCUCCAGAUUGUUAGAAGAUGUUGCGAUAAAAUUGCAUGGGAAGCUUGUAGAGACAAUUCCAUAAUGGAAGAAAUACUUAAUGACAAAGGAUGGUGGUUUUAUGAUGCAGCUAUCCUUAGAAUUGAUCAUUUCAUGAGAAUAAUAACUGCGACAAGGGCAAAAGGAACAAAACCAGAGAUCAUAGGUAAAUGUCUAAUGCAUUAUGCAGCAGUAUGGUUGCCCGGCAUGGAUGUGGAAUUCAAAGGACUCAGAGGUUAUGGAUACGUAAAAAAUGAGUUCCAGUUUAGUAUCUCGGGUGGGAGGACUGAAGAUGAGGGUGUUGGACACAGCAAGGAGAAAAAGGCCAUCAUUGAGAGUCUAGUAAGUCUACUUCCGCCUCAACAAGAAGCUGUACCAUGCAAGUUCUUGUUGAUGAUGUUAAAGAUGGCUAUUCUGUACUCAGCAUCACCAGCUUUAAUUUCAGAGCUAGAGAAGAGAGUGGGAUUGAUACUGAACAACGCUAGUGUGAAUGAUCUUUUGAUUCCUAAUUAUAAAACUGAAGAUCAAGGAAAAAUCAUGAAGUGAGAAUUCUACCACUUAUCUCUUUCAAAAUUGUUUGACUUGGAACAAAAGAAAAGAAAAAAUGAAAAUAGUAAAACAAACUUCUUGUGAUAAAUCUUCUACACCUGCUUAUUAUCAUUAACUUUACAACAGACAAACAGAGCAAUCCACAAUGCACAACAUAGAUGUGGUACAAAGAAUUGUAGAGUACUUCUUGAUGCAUGAACAAGAACAGCAGCAAUUGCAACCAAUGUCAGAAAAAUCAAAUGUUAGUAAGCUCAUGGACAGCUACCUAGCUGAGAUUGCAAGGGACCCAAAUCUUUCCAUUAUCAAAUUUCAAGCUUUGGCAGAAGCACUACCAAAAAAUGCUAGGCCAUGUGACGAUGGCCUCUAUAGCGCCAUUGAUACCUAUCUCAAGGUUUGCCUUUAGUUCUUUCUCUAUUUCUCGUAAUUUUAGCUAACCAAACUUGAAGGGCCUAAAAAUAUACUAUCCUUCCCAGACUCAUCCUUCACUUUCUGAGCAUGACCGGAAAAGGCUAUGCAAAAUUAUGAACUGUGAGAAACUAUCACUGGAUGCGUGCAUGCAUGCUGCACAAAAUGACAGGUUGCCAGUAAGAACAGUGAUUCAGGUAAAAAGUUUAUAAGAAUUCUUGAUCAUAAAUUCUAUCACUGAAAUCAGAGACUCUAGCCAGCAUAUUCACACUGCACAUUACAUAUAAUGAUUUAUUUUCAACUAGCAGUAAAUUAGAUGGUAAGGCCUAAAGGACAACCCCAAGUACUAAGGAGCAUACAACAAGAUUAGUAUUAGUAGGAAUUCAAGAUGUUAUGCCAAAAAAAACCAAAAAAAUUCACAAAAACAUACACCAAGCUCUUACUACUUUUUCUAGAUAAACCUGACAUAAACUUCCUUGUAUCAGGGGGCAUUAAAUUAUAUGUAUCUUUUUAACUCCUUAAGCACAAAUGUUUGCACUUCUGCUUUAUCCUCUAAUUAUUGUUUAUAUCAUGUAAUUCCUCUCCAUCACAACACAGACAACCCAACCAUCUCAUGUGUAACGUCCCCAUAUUAUCAUGUUAUUCCUCCCCCCCAUCCCCCCACCCCACAAACAAAUGAUGUAUCAAACCAAAAGAAAUCAUGUCAUAUACUUAGUCAUUGGCUCAUUGGCCCAUAAAAGUAAACUAAUACACAAUACUGAGAUGCCAAGACUGUUAAUUUUGGAUACCAACAUUAUGAAAAUAUGUACACUUUGUAGCAAUCUCGUAGCAAAUCUGGCCAUCUAAACAUGUUUAAAUUUGCAAACUUUGUUCUCUCCUUUAAUUAAAAUCUUUUGUUAUUAAGACCAUGUCAACUAUCCUUCAAACUGAAACCUAAAAUCCAUUAACAAAUUAUAAUCGUUGUAAUUUACUCCACCAGUUAAUGCUUGCACUCAUAAAGCACAGAAGUUGUCAAUAUUUACUAAAGCAAAAAGCUGUACUUGUGAUGUGAAACUCAAGCUAAAAUUAUUAAUGCAUUAAACAGUCUUCAAAUAAGAAUUCAUAACAACAAAUUAGAAUGCUAUGUUUAAGCAUUUAGUGCCUAGAACACUAUAUAUAGGCCUCAAACAAAAGAAACAGACAUUUGCUGUGAGACAAAUGAUACACUCAGCAGACACAAACCAUUAGUGCUUAGAGCACUAUAUAAAGGCCUCAAAACAAAAGAAACCGACAUCUUCCACGAGACAAAUAAUACACUCAGCAGAUACAAACCCGAUAAACUCACCAAUCACAAGCAAAACAUUUAAUUCAACCAAAAUACAAUUUUAUCUCAGGACAAAAUCAAUGGAUAUGCAGGUGUUGUUCUCAGAACAAGUAAAAAUGAGGUCGGCAAUGAGAGGAAAAGAGCCAACAGCAACUAGCAAUAACUCAGAACAGGAGGUGAGUCAAGCAUCAACGAGAACAGAAAUCAUGACCCUGAAAGCAGAACUUGAGAAUGUAAAGACACAGAUGGCAGAGCUGCAACAAGACUACUCAGAGCUGCAACAUGAAUAUGGAAAGCUAAACAAACAGCAAAACCAUACAUCAGGCUGGAAUUUGAGUUGGAAAGAGAUCAGGAAAUCUGCUCUUUUCAAUAGAAAAAUGGAUGGGGAAAACAGGGAAGGGCCAGACAAUCCCAAAUCACCAGCACACAAAAUGAACUUCAGAAGAAGACAAUCUGUAUCAUAGUUUUAAAUUUAAAUAUUAAAAUGAAAAGAAAAGAAAAAUUGAAGUCUCAAUUGUGAUCACAUCAAUUUAAUUCCACAGGAAGGCCAUUUCUUAAGGUAGGGCAUAGAGGAAACAAAUAAAUCCUAGGUAUAUAAUGUAUUGUCAUAUCCUGCUUCUAAAAGUUCUGAUGAAACUCUUCCACAUUUUUCUUUAAUAGACAAAACAACAAAAUAUGUAAGAAAAAAAUUCAUUGAAGCUUAAAAUUUGAAGCUUAGUCACUUUCUUGUGGGAAAAAGCACUCGCAUUCACAUAGAAGGUAACGCCAUUAGAGGUUGGGCCAUUUACAUUGACACAUUCAUCAAGAAGGAUUUUGACAAAAAAAAAAAAAGCAUAAAAUUUGAAGUGCUGAUGUAGCAAAACUAACCUCGACCUUAAUUAGGUUAUAACUUUAAAAAGAGUUCAAAAGAGUAAAUUAAUAGAACAUAAUUCAACCAANNNNNNNNNNNNNNNNNNNNNNNNNNNNNNNNNNNNNNNNNNNNNNNNNNNNNNNNNNNNNNNNNNNNNNNNNNNNNNNNNNNNNNNNNNNNNNNNNNNNNNNNNNNNNNNNNNNNNNNNNNNNNNNNNNNNNNNNNNNNNNNNNNNNNNNNNNNNNNNNNNNNNNNNNNNNNNNNNNNNNNNNNNNNNNNNNNNNNNNNNNNNNNNNNNNNNNNNNNNNNNNNNNNNNNNNNNNNNNNNNNNNNNNNNNNNNNNNNNNNNNNNNNNNNNNNNNNNNNNNNNNNNNNNNNNNNNNNNNNNNNNNNNNNNNNNNNNNNNNNNNNNNNNNNNNNNNNNNNNNNNNNNNNNNNNNNNNNNNNNNNNNNNNNNNNNNNNNNNNNNNNNNNNNNNNNNNAAAAAAAAAAAAGUGAAAUGGGGAAGAAAGCAAAACAUGAUAGACCAUCUGAUCAUCUGAUCUCUUCUUUUUCCACAUAGUUUUAUUCAAAAUAUAAGAACUAGUAUAGACACCAAACCAUGAUAGGAUAGAUGCAAGAAUAAUUGAUAUGGGGAAAUCUAACAUCUGUGUUGCAAACCUGAAAGUUCACAACUCAGAUAAAGGGUAAACAUAGAAACUAGUAAGAAAGCAAGACCCAGAAAUUCUUGUCUAUGUGUCUUUCAAUCGACGACAGGUAAAUGCUUAAAGUUUAAACUACUGCAUGAACAAUAACGCAAACAUAUACAGAGAGGAAAAAGAGUAAAUGCUGAAAUCAAAUUCUUCACUUGUAAACCAUAUAAAAGCACAGUACUUAUUCAUAUUGUAUAGCAUCCCAAACAGUACCAAUCAAAAAAAGUUCAUCAAGCUCAUCAAAACCCCUAAAUAAUAAAAUCAAACUAACAUUUCUAAUAUCUCAAGACAAACAAAAAAUAUGAAAAGAAAACUACCUACUAGCACUCCUCAUGCUGCUCCAUGGAAACUUGGCCUUCUCCACGGUAAAGUCACCAACACCACCACGAUCUCUCCUUCUUCCUUUCUCACUCCCAACUCUCUCUUCCUUCUUUCCGUCCAGCCAAUGCUUUUUCCCUUCACCAUCUUCCACAAUACUAGACCUCCUCUGCUUGUUCAUUCUCUCCUUCUCCUCCUCAAUAAUCCUUAGUGGAUACAGAUCAGGAGAUACAGAAAGAGGGUUCUUCAAAGUAACGUAGGCCUUUUUGUAGUCAGGUUUCGCUAGUAGUAUUCCACCGCGCUUCUUCUUCUUCCCUUCCAUGUUAAGAGUACGGACCUUGUCGACCUCGAAGCCAUAUAGGGAUUCAAGGACUCGCUUGAUUUCAAUCUUGGAGGCUGAAGGAAUGGUUUUUAAGGCAAUUUCUCUGAUGUUGGUGAAAGUAGUGGGCAUGAGGAGCUUGAUCGGAAGGUUUGCAAAGUUAACCACUCUUCUUCCCAGUCUGCUCCCCAUCUGUUUGUGUUUUUGCACGUUUAGCUGUUCGAACGAAAACGAGUUUUCGGUAAGUGUUAGAUUAGCGUAUUUGCUUCCCCAAACGGAGUAAUGACCGAAGAGUUUGA